UGGGGAAUUUUCCGCAAUGGGCGCAAGCCUGACGGAGCAAUACCGCGUGAGGGAGGAAGGCUUUUGGGUUGUAAACCUCUUUUCUCAAGGAAGAAGCACUGACGGUACUUGAGGAAUCAGCAUCGGCUAACUCCGUGCCAGCAGCCGCGGUAAUACGGAGGAGGCAAGCGUUAUCCGGAAUUAUUGGGCGUAAAGCGUCCGUAGGUGGUUGUUCAAGUCUGCUGUCAAAGCGUGGGGCUCAACUCCAUAGAGGCAGUGGAAACUGGGUAACUAGAGUGCGGUAGGGGUCGAGGGAAUUCCCAGUGUAGCGGUGAAAUGCGUAGAUAUUGGGAAGAACACCAGUGGCGAAAGCGCUCGACUGGGCCUGCACUGACACUGAGGGACGAAAGCUAGGGGAGCGAAAGGGAUUAGAUACCCCCGUAGUCC
This 426-nucleotide ribosomal RNA is filed under the name uncultured prokaryote. Its description in RNAcentral is "bacterial SSU rRNA". It matches the Rfam family "Bacterial small subunit ribosomal RNA", at positions 355 to 796 of the family's 1533-position model. The record is from RNAcentral.